RNAcentral lists this ribosomal RNA (254 nucleotides) under uncultured bacterium. RNAcentral describes it as "partial 16S ribosomal RNA". It matches the Rfam family "Archaeal small subunit ribosomal RNA", at positions 474 to 727 of the family's 1478-position model. The record is from RNAcentral.
UACCAUCGCCACAAGUGGUGAACACAUUUAUUGGGCCUAAAGCGUUCGUAGCUGGUCUGUUAAAUUCUUUGUGAAAUCGUUGUGCUUAACAUAACGGCGCGCGGAGAACACUGGCAGACUAGGGACCGGGAGAAGUUAGAAGUAUUCCAGAGGGAGCGGUAAAAUGUUAUAAUCUCUGGAGGACUACCUGUGGCGAAGGCGUCUAACUAGAACGGAUCCGACAGUGAGGAACGAAGGCCAGGGGAGCGAACCGG